UACGUAGGGGGCAAGCGUUAUCCGGAUUUACUGGGUGUAAAGGGGGCGCAGACGGCUGUGUAAGUCUGAAGUGAAAACCCAAGGCUUAACCAUGGGAUUGCUUUGGAAACUAUACAGCUUGAGUACCGGAGGGGUAAGCGGAAUUCCUAGUGUAGCGGUGAAAUGCGUAGAUAUUAGGAAGAACACCGGUGGUGAAGGCGGCUUACUGGACGGUAACUGACGUUGAGGCUCGAAAGCGUGGGGAGCAAACAGGAUUAGAUACCCUGGUAGUCCCUGAGCGGGCUGGCAA
This 289-nucleotide ribosomal RNA is filed under the name uncultured prokaryote. RNAcentral's name for it is "partial 16S ribosomal RNA". It matches the Rfam family "Bacterial small subunit ribosomal RNA", at positions 524 to 815 of the family's 1533-position model. The record is from RNAcentral.